This 502-nucleotide ribosomal RNA is filed under the name uncultured bacterium. Its description in RNAcentral is "partial 16S ribosomal RNA". It matches the Rfam family "Bacterial small subunit ribosomal RNA", at positions 29 to 523 of the family's 1533-position model. The record is from RNAcentral.
AUUGAACGCUGGCGGCAUGCCUUACACAUGCAAGUCGAACGGCAGCAUGGGUGCUUGCACCUGAUGGCGAGUGGCGAACGGGUGAGUAAUGCAUCGGAACGUGCCCUGAAGUGGGGGAUAACGUAGCGAAAGUUACGCUAAUACCGCAUAUUCUGUGAGCAGGAAAGAGGGGGAUCGCAAGACCUCUUGCUUAAGGAGCGGCCGAUGUCGGAUUAGCUAGUUGGUGGGGUAAAGGCCUACCAAGGCGACGAUCCGUAGCGGGUCUGAGAGGAUGAGCCGCGACGCGGGGCCUGAGACACGGCCGAGACUCCUACGGGAGGCAGGAGAGGGGAAUUUUGGACAAUAGGCGCAAGCCUGGUCCAGCCAUGCCGCGUGAGUGAAGAAGGCCUUCGGGUUGUAAAGCUCUUUCGGUGGGGAAGAAAUUGCUUCGGCUAAUAUCCGGAGUAGAUGACGGUACCCGCAUAAGAAGCACCGGCUAACUACGUGCCAGCCGCCGCGGUAA